GCCGGUGUGGCUCAGUGGUAGAGCCUUGGCCUGCACAUCCAAGGGUAGCAGGUUCAAUUGCCAGUCAAGGGCA
This 73-nucleotide transfer RNA is filed under the name Myotis lucifugus (little brown bat). It matches the Rfam family "tRNA". From Rfam's summary of the family: Transfer RNA (tRNA) molecules are approximately 80 nucleotides in length. Their secondary structure includes four short double-helical elements and three loops (D, anti-codon, and T loops). Lineage: Eukaryota; Metazoa; Chordata; Mammalia; Chiroptera; Vespertilionidae. The record is from Rfam by way of RNAcentral.